CCUUCGGGGUCAGUGGCAGACGGGUGAGUAACGCGUGGGAACGUGCCCUUCAGUUCGGAAUAACCCAGGGAAACUUGGGCUAAUACCGGAUACGUGCGAGAGCAGAAAGAUUUAUCGCUGAAGGAUCGGCCCGCGUCUGAUUAGCUAGUUGGUAGGGUAAUGGCCUACCAAGGCGACGAUCAGUAGCUGGUCUGAGAGGAUGAUCAGCCACAUUGGGACUGAGACACGGCCCAAACUCCUACGGGAGGCAGCAGUGGGGAAUAUUGGACAAUGGGCGCAAGCCUGAUCCAGCCAUGCCGCGUGAGUGAUGACGGCCUUAGGGUUGUAAAGCUCUUUCGCACGCGACGAUAAUGACGGUAGCGUGAGAAGAAGCCCCGGCUAACUUCGUGCCAGCAGCCGCGGUAAUACGAAGGGGGCUAGCGUUGUUCGGAAUCACUGGGCGUAAAGGGCGCGUAGGCGGCUUAAUAAGUCGGGGGUGAAAGCCUGUGGCUCAACCACAGAAUUGCCUUCGAUACUGUUUGGCUUGAGACCGGAAGAGGUUAGUGGAACUGCGAGUGUAGAGGUGAAAUUCGUAGAUAUUCGCAAGAACACCAGUGGCGAAGGCGGCUGACUGGUCCGGAUCUGACGCUGAGGCGCGAAAGCGUGGGGAGCAAACAGGAUUAGAUACCCUGGUAGUCCACGCCGUACACGAUGAAUGCCAGCCGUUGGCGAGCUUGCUCGUCAGUGGCGCAGCUAACGCUUUAAGCAUUCCGCCUGGGGAGUACGGUCGCAAGAUUAAAACUCAAAGGAAUUGACGGGGGCCCGCACAAGCGGUGGAGCAUGUGGUUUAAUUUCGAAGCAACGCGCAGAACCUUACC
Molecule: ribosomal RNA, 857 nt
Filed under: Microvirga sp. NCCP-1159
Lineage: Bacteria; Pseudomonadati; Pseudomonadota; Alphaproteobacteria; Hyphomicrobiales; Methylobacteriaceae
Description: bacterial SSU rRNA
Rfam family: Bacterial small subunit ribosomal RNA
Source: RNAcentral